GGGCCCGCACAAGCGGUGGAGUAUGUGGUUUAAUUCGAUGCAACGCGAAGAACCUUACCAGGGUUUGACAUCCUGCGAACCUCUUGGAAACGAGAGGGUGCCUUCGGGAGCGCAGUGACAGGUGGUGCAUGGCUGUCGUCAGCUCGUGUCGUGAGAUGUUGGGUUAAGUCCCGCAACGAGCGCAACCCACGUCUUUAGUUGCCAGCAUUUAGUUGGGCACUCUAGAGAGACCGCCGGUGAUAAACCGGAGGAAGGUGUGGAUGACGUCAAGUCAUCAUGCCCCUUACAUCCUGGGCUACACACGUACUACAAUGCUACGGACAAAGAGCAGCAAGUUCGCGAGGACAAGCAAAUCUCAUAAACCGUGGCUCAGUUCAGAUCGUAGGCUGCAACUCGCCUACGUGAAGGAGGAAUCGCUAGUAAUCGCAGGUC
This 432-nucleotide ribosomal RNA is filed under the name uncultured bacterium. Its description in RNAcentral is "bacterial SSU rRNA". It matches the Rfam family "Bacterial small subunit ribosomal RNA", at positions 917 to 1350 of the family's 1533-position model. The record is from RNAcentral.